UACGUAGGGACCAAGCGUUGUUCGGAUUUACUGGGCGUAAAGGGCGCGUAGGCGGCGGGGUAAGUCAGCUGUGAAAUCUCCGAGCUUAACUCGGAACGGUCAGCUGAUACUGCUGUGCUAGAGUACAGAAAGGGCAAUCGGAAUUCUUGGUGUAGCGGUGAAAUGCGUAGAUAUCAAGAGGAACACCUGAGGCGAAGGCGGGUUGCUAGGCUGAUACUGACGCUGAAGCGCGAAAGCUAGGGUAGCAAACGGG
Molecule: ribosomal RNA, 253 nt
Filed under: uncultured bacterium
Lineage: Bacteria
Description: partial 16S ribosomal RNA
Rfam family: Bacterial small subunit ribosomal RNA
Source: RNAcentral